This 400-nucleotide ribosomal RNA is filed under the name uncultured bacterium. RNAcentral describes it as "bacterial SSU rRNA". It matches the Rfam family "Bacterial small subunit ribosomal RNA", at positions 355 to 747 of the family's 1533-position model. The record is from RNAcentral.
UGGGGAAUUUUGGACAAUGGGGGCAACCCUGAUCCAGCAACGCCGCGUGAAUGAAGAAGGCCUUAGGGUUGUAAAGUUCUUUUAUAUGAGAGCAAGUUGAUAUAUUGAAUAGAUAUGUUAAUUGAGAGUAUCAUAUGAAUAAGCACCGGCUAACUACGUGCCAGCAGCCGCGGUAAUACGUAGGGUGCGAGCGUUAAUCGGAAUUACUGGGCGUAAAGGGUGCGCAGGCGGAUGAUCAAGUUAGAUGUGAAAUACCUAGGCUCAACCUGGGUUCGUCAUUUAAGACUGGUUAUCUAGAGUUAUGCAGAGGCGGGUAGAAUUCCAAGUGUAGCAGUGAAAUGCGUAGAGAUUUGGAGGAAUACCGAUGGCGAAGGCAGCCCGCUGGGCGAUAACUGACGCU